Molecule: ribosomal RNA, 357 nt
Filed under: uncultured bacterium
Lineage: Bacteria
Description: bacterial SSU rRNA
Rfam family: Bacterial small subunit ribosomal RNA
Source: RNAcentral
AGAGUUUGAUCCUGGCUCAGGAUGAACGCUAGCUACAGGCUUAACACAUGCAAGUCGAGGGGAAACGACAUCGAAAGCUUGCUUUUGAUGGGCGUCGACCGGCGCACGGGUGAGUAACGCGUAUCCAACCUGCCGAUAACUCGGGGAUAGCCUUUCGAAAGAAAGAUUAAUACCCGAUGGUAUAAUCAGACCGCAUGGUCUUGUUAUUAAAGAAUUUCGGUUAUCGAUGGGGAUGCGUUCCAUUAGGCAGUUGGUGAGGUAACGGCUCACCAAAACCUUCGAUGGAUAGGGGUUCUGAGAGGAAGGUCCCCCACCAUUGGAACUGAGACACGGUCCAAACUCCUACGGGAGGCAGCA